This 231-nucleotide ribosomal RNA is filed under the name uncultured bacterium. RNAcentral's name for it is "partial 16S ribosomal RNA". It matches the Rfam family "Bacterial small subunit ribosomal RNA", at positions 118 to 347 of the family's 1533-position model. The record is from RNAcentral.
UGAGCAAUCUGCCCUUCUCAUCGGAAUAAGCGUUGGAAACGACGUCUAAUGCCGAAUACGACCUCCUUUCGCAUGAUCGGAGGUGGAAAGCUCCGGCGGAGAAGGAUGAGCUCGCGGCCUAUCAGCUAGUUGGUGUGGGUAAUGGCCCACCGAAGGGGGACGACGGGUAGCUGGUCUGAGAGGAUGGCCAGCCACAUUGGGACUGAGACACGGCCCAGACCUCUACGGGAG